RNAcentral lists this ribosomal RNA (327 nucleotides) under Claudrilus corderoi. Its description in RNAcentral is "partial 16S ribosomal RNA". It matches the Rfam family "Bacterial large subunit ribosomal RNA", at positions 1950 to 2524 of the family's 2925-position model. Lineage: Eukaryota; Metazoa; Annelida; Polychaeta; Protodrilidae. The record is from RNAcentral.
GCAAAGGUAGCAUAAUCACUUGCCCUUUAAUUGGGGGCUUGUAUGAAUGGACCCACCAUGCUAGACUGUCUCGGAGAUAACCCCAUAAAUUUCAAUCAAAAUGAAGAUGUUUUGACAAAAAAGAAGGACCAAAAGACCCUAUAGAGCUCUGUAUUUACUUACACUACCUAUGUAAAGACAAUACUUCGUUGGGGCGACGAACAUUAACCACUCUACUAACUCAAGGAAUCAAUCUCUCUUACACCCUAUUUAGAAAAAGAUAAAGCUACCUUAGGGAUAACAGGCUAAUUUUCUUCCAUAGUUCACAUUGCCAAGAAAGUUUGGCAC